This is a long non-coding RNA of Siniperca chuatsi (mandarin fish), 744 nucleotides long. RefSeq lists it as uncharacterized. The transcript has 2 exons. The record is from RefSeq and is a predicted model, not a curated record. NCBI's taxonomy places the organism in Eukaryota, Metazoa, Chordata, Actinopteri, Centrarchiformes, Sinipercidae.
CCUGCCCUCACCUGUGUAUUUAAGUCUGUGUGCUUCCUUUGUUCUGUCUCAGAUCGUCAUUGUAUCCAUGUCCAGCAUCUUGAUCUUCGUUGCUCAUGUUUCCGGAUUAUUCUUCUCAGUUUCAUUGAUACCCUUCACGGAAGCUUGCACUGUGAUUUCUGUUUGCUCCUUUGGACUUUGCCUGUUAGGAACUGCUUACCUGUUGUGAGUGCCUGCUGCCUGCCAGAAUCUCUACAUGGAGAAGACGCUCCUUUCCAUGCUGGGAGAGAUAAUUGACUUCUGUUCCGUGCAUGCCACAAUCAAGACAGAAGACCACAGCACAUUACGAAAAUGUGCUGUGUACAAAAUAACGUCAAAGUCAGCACACUGCUUGAUUUAUUUAUUUUUGAUUUUUAAUGAUUUAUGCUUCCUAAUGCAUUUGCCAGUUACUAUAUUAAGCGUGGUUGGAAUGUUUGAAUAACAGACUUCUACAUAAAGUUUGGCUUCAAACCUGGACACACACAAUGACCAGAUUUAAUGUGUGUGUUUUUCUUCAAAGGGAGAGAAUUUAUGAAAAUAAUAGCUUUGGAUAUUUGUUGGAACAGUCAAUAUGGGCAACUGAACGCUGAACGGGAACAUUCUUGUACCAACAUGCGUUGAGCAAUAAACUGAAGAAUGUAGAUUCCUUACUCAGGGUUCAAGGAAAAGCUUUCUUGUAUGAUUCAUAAUACAAUUCCUCAUUGAAUUAAAGACACAUCAGCUUUU